Molecule: ribosomal RNA, 262 nt
Filed under: uncultured bacterium
Lineage: Bacteria
Description: partial 16S ribosomal RNA
Rfam family: Bacterial small subunit ribosomal RNA
Source: RNAcentral
GAUCAUGGCUCAGGAUGAACGCUGGCGGCGCGCCUAACACAUGCAAGUCGAACGGUUAAAGCACCUUCGGGUGUGUAUAAAGUGGCGAACGGCUGAGUAACACGUGGGCAACCUGCCCCUCGCACCGGGACAGCCUCGGGAAACCGUGGAUAAUACCGGAUACUCCGGACCCUCCGCAUGGCGGGUCCGGGAAAGCCCAGACGGCGAGGGAUGGGCCCGCGGCCUGUUAGCUAGUUGGUGGGGCAACGGCCCACCAAGGCGA